CUGGGGGGGCCCCGAACCCGGCCCCCCGGGCUCGCUCCCCCCCGCGGGCCCCCCGCUCUCGAAGGCGGCCGCGUCUCCCAUCUCCGACGCCCCCAGCAGGUGCCCCGACUUCUCGCGCGAGUUCAGUUGUCACCACUGCCACACGGGCAACAACAUCGUCUAAAGACUGCUCUUACAGUCCCACCACCACCAACAACAACAGCAGCCGCCAUUCACCUCUCAGUGGCGGUGCCAUGCUCGGUGCACUUUGAGACAACGUGAAGUGUCAAAGGCCUGCUGACAGGCCAUGGAUCAGACCAAGGUGCCAUGGGUUGACUGACUGAGCUGACUGACAGAUGGCACCACCUGUGCUCCCAACUGUGCCAACUUGCUGCGUUUUAUCCGUUCGGCGCUCCGCUCGUUGUUGUGAGCGUCGCUCCUCUGCCCUCCGCUGUUGCUGGAGGGCGACUGUAUGUAUGUUGAACUGGUUUCGCGGUGUCUGGUCUAGAGUGCUGAAUUGUGGUGAGGUGUCUACGGGACCCGCUUAUUCAUCAUCUAGAUACCGGCAGAGGAGGCUUGACCAUAUUUUACCAACAGCAUGUAUUUAACAUCAAGCACGUGUGGUGAAUGCAGCAUUGACGCCUUGCAAUAGGGGUUGUAUUCGUUGUUUGAACAUCUUAUCACAUCUGUUACUACACCUCCGAUUAGCACGGUUGGCUACGUACGGUGAGAAAGAAGUUCUACAUACAGAGGUGACUGGUUCCAUUUGAUCUCCCGGCAGGGACUUUGAGAACCAACGGGGAAAGUUUCUUAACCACCCCUCCUCCUCUCUCUCCGCCGCCUCUGGUCCACCCAUCAGUUUUUUUCUCCGCCUGAUGAAGCCCGCUUGUGUUGCGAUCGAAACGUCGUGAGUUUUUUGCUUUUACUUUAAUGUAAUAAACAAAUUCUAUCUACGUGAAUUUACCGACAGAACCAAAGAAAACGAGGUACAAUACCAAUAAAAGCAACAAGCAUGU
Long non-coding RNA from Lethenteron reissneri (Far Eastern brook lamprey), 995 nucleotides. RefSeq lists it as uncharacterized. The record is from RefSeq and is a predicted model, not a curated record. Lineage: Eukaryota; Metazoa; Chordata; Hyperoartia; Petromyzontiformes; Petromyzontidae.